AAAGUCGUAACAAGGUCUCCGUAGGUGAACCUGCGGAGGGAUCAUUAACACGUUUUAACAACGUAUUCUACCAAACUAAGGAAUCAGACCUAGCAAUAGGUCAGUUUACCCUCCCCACAGAGCGAAGCAGAGAGAGCAAUAGCACUCUAUGUGUAGCGUUGCGGGCUAUGAUUUUCUAUUGAUACACCCUUUUCCACCUGGAUUGAUCUUCGAUCAACUCCACCAAUGUCGUAACCUAGCCUUGGUUUGACCUAGUCACUCUGAGGUUGAUAUCAACAAUCUAAGCACAACUCUUAGCAACGGAUAUCUUGGUUCUC
Molecule: unclassified non-coding RNA, 317 nt
Filed under: Ascomycota sp.
Lineage: Eukaryota; Fungi; Ascomycota
Description: partial contains small subunit ribosomal RNA, internal transcribed spacer 1, and 5.8S ribosomal RNA
Rfam family: Eukaryotic small subunit ribosomal RNA (bases 1-47)
Source: RNAcentral